GGUUAAGCGACUAAGCGUACACGGUGGAUGCCCUGGCAGUCAGAGGCGAUGAAGGACGUGCUAAUCUGCGAUAAGCGUCGGUGAGGUGAUAUGAACCGUUAUAACCGGCGAUUUCCGAAUGGGGAAACCCAGUGUGUUUCGACACACUAUCAUUAACUGAAUCCAUAGGUUAAUGAGGCGAACCGGGGGAACUGAAACAUCUAAGUACCCCGAGGAAAAGAAAUCAACCGAGAUUCCCCCAGUAGCGGCGAGCGAACGGGGAGGAGCCCAGAGCCUGAAUCAGUGUGUGUGUUAGUGGAAGCGUCUGGAAAGGCGUGCGAUACAGGGUGACAGCCCCGUACACAAAAAUGCACAUACUGUGAGCUCGAUGAGUAGGGCGGGACACGUGGUAUCCUGUCUGAAUAUGGGGGGACCAUCCUCCAAGGCUAAAUACUCCUGACUGACCGAUAGUGAACCAGUACCGUGAGGGAAAGGCGAAAAGAACCCCGGCGAGGGGAGUGAAAAAGAACCUGAAACCGUGUACGUACAAGCAGUGGGAGCCUCUUAAUGGGGUGACUGCGUACCUUUUGUAUAAUGGGUCAGCGACUUAUAUUCUGUAGCAAGGUUAACCGAAUAGGGGAGCCGAAGGGAAACCGAGUCUUAACUGGGCGUUAAGUUGCAGGGUAUAGACCCGAAACCCGGUGAUCUAGCCAUGGGCAGGUUGAAGGUUGGGUAACACUAACUGGAGGACCGAACCGACUAAUGUUGAAAAAUUAGCGGAUGACUUGUGGCUGGGGGUGAAAGGCCAAUCAAACCGGGAGAUAGCUGGUUCUCCCCGAAAGCUAUUUAGGUAGCGCCUCGUGAAUUCAUCUCCGGGGGUAGAGCACUGUUUCGGCAAGGGGGUCAUCCCGACUUACCAACCCGAUGCAAACUGCGAAUACCGGAGAAUGUUAUCACGGGAGACACACGGCGGGUGCUAACGUCCGUCGUGAAGAGGGAAACAACCCAGACCGCCAGCUAAGGUCCCAAAGUCAUGGUUAAGUGGGAAACGAUGUGGGAAGGCCCAGACAGCCAGGAUGUUGGCUUAGAAGCAGCCAUCAUUUAAAGAAAGCGUAAUAGCUCACUGGUCGAGUCGGCCUGCGCGGAAGAUGUAACGGGGCUAAACCAUGCACCGAAGCUGCGGCAGCGACACUAUGUGUUGUUGGGUAGGGGAGCG
RNAcentral lists this ribosomal RNA (1195 nucleotides) under Escherichia coli. RNAcentral's name for it is "partial 23S ribosomal RNA". It matches the Rfam family "Bacterial large subunit ribosomal RNA", at positions 1 to 1238 of the family's 2925-position model. The record is from RNAcentral. Lineage: Bacteria; Pseudomonadati; Pseudomonadota; Gammaproteobacteria; Enterobacterales; Enterobacteriaceae.